RNAcentral lists this ribosomal RNA (271 nucleotides) under uncultured prokaryote. RNAcentral's name for it is "partial 16S ribosomal RNA". It matches the Rfam family "Bacterial small subunit ribosomal RNA", at positions 524 to 794 of the family's 1533-position model. The record is from RNAcentral.
UACGUAGGGGGCAAGCGUUGUCCGGAAUGAUUGGGCGUAAAGGGCGCGUAGGCGGCCUAUCAAGUCAGUAGUGGAAGUCCAGCUUUCAAGGUUGGAAGUGCUAUUGAAACUGAGGGGCUUGAGUGCAGGAGAGGUUAUCGGAAUUCCCGGUGUAGCGGUGAAAUGCGUAGAGAUCGGGAGGAACACCAGUGGCGAAGGCGGGUAACUGGACUGCAACUGACGCUGAUGCGCGAAAGUGUGGGGAGCAAACAGGAUUAGAUACCCCUGUAGU